CCAGAGGGUCGGGCGAUCGCCGCUUUCCGCGAGGGAAGGGGAGGAAAGUCCGGGCUCCACGGAAACCACGGUGCCGGAUAACGUCCGGCGGGUCCGCUUUCGGGCGGGCUCAGGGAAAGUGCCACAGAGAGCAGACCGCCAAAGGCUUCGGCCCGGCGAAAGGUGAAAGGGUGCGGUAAGAGCGCACCGCGCGGACGGCAACGGACGCGGCACGGCAAACCCCACCGGGAGCAAGGUCGAAUAGGGAUGGCACGGGCCCCUUUCUUAGGGGAGGGUGCCCAGGGCUGGUUCCGGCCCCGCCGUCCGGGUUGACUGCUUGAGCGUCCGGGCAACCGGCCGCCUAGAGGAAUGAUCGCCCAUCCCCGCAAGGGGUGGACAGAACCCGGCUUACAGACCCUCUGGCGCC
This is a non-coding RNA of Sphingopyxis granuli, 406 nucleotides long. The record is from Rfam. Lineage: Bacteria; Pseudomonadati; Pseudomonadota; Alphaproteobacteria; Sphingomonadales; Sphingopyxidaceae.